Molecule: RNA transcript, 1914 nt
Organism: Cavia porcellus (domestic guinea pig)
Lineage: Eukaryota; Metazoa; Chordata; Mammalia; Rodentia; Caviidae
Exons: 6
Source: RefSeq, a predicted model, not a curated record
AUGGCGGGCUGGGGUUCAACCCGGGAGCACGGUGCAUGAGGCGUGUUCCCCAGUCUGCAGCCGAACACCGGCUUCCUUCUCUUCCUUCCCCUGUGCUCCCGCCUGGGUUCUGGGGGCGGGGGUGGAGGGAAGGGCGAAGGAGGAGGCAGUGAAGGCGGGGUGAAGGGCAGAGGGGUCCCUGCACACAGCGAGGCGCGCUGCCUCACUCUCUCUCUCUCUCUCUCUCUCUCUCUCUCCCCCCCCCCCCCCCCGCCGGGUGCCUCGGCCCGGGGCGCGCUGGGCUCUGGCUGCCCGCCCUAUGCAGGCGGACUACUGGCCGCCGCGAUUGCAGGCCGGGUGGUGCUGAGAGCCGGGCGCUGCCCGCAGUGACCCCGAGUCCGGCCCGCUGCCCCCGCCCGGGCCACACUCCCCCUCUCCCGCCUCCACUCGUGGCCCCAACCCCUCCUCCACGCCCUCCUCUUCCUCCUUGGCCUCCUCCUCCGUGCCUCUGUUCCUCCUGUUCUUAUCCUGCUCCUGCUGCUAGAGGACACCAGAGCCCAGCAAGUCUAUCUACUCAUACUAGAUUUGAGGACACAGACAGCUAUCCCAAAACAAUAGGAUAUACUACGGUGAUGGAUGUGGACACACUGUACGAGGCCCUGAAAGUGCAACUCUUGCAUCUAUAAACUACCCGCCGACCUAUCCCAGCAGUACCGUUUGCAAAUGGGAGAUCCAUGUCAAGAUGGGAGAACGAAUUCGGGUCAAAUUGGGUGAUGUUGACAUUGAAGAUUAUGAUUCUUGUCAUUUUAAUUACUUGAGAAUUUAUAAUGGAAUUGGACUUGGCAGAACAGAAAUAGUGCAAGAAUGAAUGCUCAACAAGAAUGUGUGGCUGUCUUUUACAAAGCUGAAGUCUACUCGGAAUUCACUGAUUAUUUUUAUGGGGGGAAAAGUGAUUUUCUAUAAUUUGCAUGAACUAUUCUGCAUGAACUUAAUGCCUUUGAUAUUCCCCAAAGAGGAAUUAAAUCACAAGGAUCAUCUAAUCUAAACAGUACUAUAGCUGUUUCUCCUCCUUCAAAUCCUAAGAGAUAACCAUGCUUAUUUCUGCUCGCUGAGAACACUUUUUCUAGCUCUUGGACUUGAAAAAAGUACAAAAAUAAGGUUGCUUUUGCCACUUUAGGUUUUUAGUGAUUUUAUAUCAAUUUUAAUAUAUUUUUCUAAUUAUGUAAACAAUGCACCUAGUACUUCCAUUAAAUCUGCAGGUUAUUUUGCAUACUCUGGACUUAUUCACAAUUACAAAUCUUCAAACCUGUGAAUAUUAGGAGUACUUUAUUUUUUGCCUUUAACUUCCUUCACUAUUGUUUUAUAAUUUUAGUGAUUCUUUUAUUUUUUUAAUUCAUUCCUAGGCAUUUUAUUCUUUCUGUUGCCAAAUAUAACUAUGAUUUUUUCUCAAUCACUUCUUUUAAACUUUCUGUCAUUCUGAGUAUUGAAACGAGAGCUCUCCACUAAACUCCAUCCCCAGUUCUUUUAAAAUACCUUUUCUUGAGAAGAAAGUUGCUAAACACUAAGUGAGCCUUGUGGGGCUCCAAUUUGCACAUCUCCUGUCCCGUCUCACAGAGUGCUGGGUGUAAGGCUAUGUGGCCGUGCCUGGCCUCUUACCUCUUUUUUUAUUGGUUAAUUACUUGCGUGUAGAACAACUACUGAUUAUUAUUAUUUUUGGUUCUCUGUUUGUUUGGUGAUGCUGGGUAUUGAAUUCACAAUUCUUGGGCAUCGCCAUGCUAGGAACAUAAUACAUAAUCUAGGUACUCUUCAGUCUUUACAAUUAUUUCAUGAUUUUGUAUUCUGAAGUUUUCAGGAAUUUAUCAAAAAUAACUUUUUUUAUUGGGUCUUUGGUGUUCACUAUUUACAUAACCAUUUUAUUUGUAAUAACAAUUUAUC